RNAcentral lists this ribosomal RNA (500 nucleotides) under uncultured bacterium. RNAcentral describes it as "partial 16S ribosomal RNA". It matches the Rfam family "Bacterial small subunit ribosomal RNA", at positions 899 to 1397 of the family's 1533-position model. The record is from RNAcentral.
ACUCAAAUGAAUUGACGGGGACCCGCACAAGCAGUGGAUCAUGUGGUUUAAUUCGAUGUUACACGAAAAACCUUACCAACCCUUGACAUCCCGUUGACCGGUACAGAGAUGUACUUUUGGAGCAAUCCACAAUGGAGACAGGUGUUGCACGGCCGUCGUCAGCUCGUGUCGUGAGAUGUUAGGUUAAGUCCUUAAACGAGCGCAACCCUCGUCCUUAUUUGCCAUCGGGUCAUGCCGGGAACUAUAAGGAAACUGCCGGCGACAAGCUGGAGGAAGGUGGGGACGAUGUCAGGUCAUCAUGGCCCUUAUGGGUUGGGCUACACACAUGAUACAAUGGUGGUUACAGCGGGACGCAAUGGAGCAAUCCUGAGCCAAUCCUUAAAAGCCAUCUCAGUUCAGAUUGGGGGCUGCAACUCGCCCCCAUGAAGUUGGAAUUGCUAGUAAUCGUGGAUCAGCACGCCACGGUGAAUACGUUCUCGGGUCUUGUACACACCGCCCGU